GGGGGUGUGGCUCAGUGGUAGAGCGUCCGCUUUGCAUGAUCUGGUUUGCGGAAGGUCCGGGUAUGAAGAAACACAAUUGUAUAUUCGUUGUUCUAAGAUCUAAUAAUGGUUGUUAGGUUUCGAUCACCCGCUCCUCCA
This 138-nucleotide transfer RNA is filed under the name Lasallia pustulata. RNAcentral describes it as "Umbilicaria pustulata tRNA-Ala". It matches the Rfam family "tRNA". From Rfam's summary of the family: Transfer RNA (tRNA) molecules are approximately 80 nucleotides in length. Their secondary structure includes four short double-helical elements and three loops (D, anti-codon, and T loops). Further hydrogen bonds mediate the characteristic L-shaped molecular structure. tRNAs have two regions of fundamental functional importance: the anti-codon, which is responsible for specific mRNA codon recognition, and the 3' end, to which the tRNAs corresponding amino acid is attached (by aminoacyl-tRNA synthetases). tRNAs cope with the degeneracy of the genetic code in two manners: having more than one tRNA (with a specific anti-codon) for a particular amino acid; and 'wobble' base-pairing, i.e. permitting non-standard base-pairing at the 3rd anti-codon position. The record is from RNAcentral. Lineage: Eukaryota; Fungi; Ascomycota; Lecanoromycetes; Umbilicariales; Umbilicariaceae.